This 110-nucleotide ribosomal RNA is filed under the name marine eukaryotic metagenome. The record is from RNAcentral.
GGUAACUAUAGCAUAGGAGAAAUACCCGUUCCCAUUCCGAACACGGAAGUUAAGCCCUAUUGCGCCGAUGGUAUUGCGUGGGUAGCUGCGUGAGAGAGUAGGUCGUUACC